GAUGAACGCUGGCGGCGUGCCUAACACAUGCAAGUCGAACGGAGAUUACGGACGGAAGUUUUCGGAUGGAAGCCUGUAAUUCUUAGUGGCGGACGGGUGAGUAACGCGUGGGCAACCUGCCCUAUACAGGGGGAUAGCAGCUGGAAACGGCUGGUAAGACCGCAUAAGUCGGUUAAAUCGCAUGAUUUGAUCGGGCAAUGAGCAAUCAGGUAUAGGAUGGGCCCGCGUCCGAUUAGCCAGUUGGCAGGGUAAAAGCCUACCAAAGCGACGAUCGGUAGCCGGACUGAGAGGUCGACGGCCACAUUGGGACUGAGACACGGCCCAAACUCCUACGGGAGGCAGCAGUGGGGGAUAUUGCACAAUGGAGGAAACUCUGAUGCAGCGACGCCGCGUGAGUGAAGAAGUAUUUCGGUAUGUAAAGCUCUAUCAGCAGGGAAGAUGAUGACGGUACCUGACUAAGAAGCCCCGGCUAACUACGUG
This 480-nucleotide ribosomal RNA is filed under the name uncultured bacterium. RNAcentral's name for it is "partial 16S ribosomal RNA". It matches the Rfam family "Bacterial small subunit ribosomal RNA", at positions 28 to 507 of the family's 1533-position model. The record is from RNAcentral.